RNAcentral lists this long non-coding RNA (317 nucleotides) under Cicer arietinum (chickpea). RNAcentral's name for it is "long non-coding RNA (CARI_LNC003135)". The record is from RNAcentral. Lineage: Eukaryota; Viridiplantae; Streptophyta; Magnoliopsida; Fabales; Fabaceae.
ACAUCGACUGUGGGUACUACGUAUUGAGAUUCAUGAAGGAGAUUGUUGAGAAGAAUAAAACUAUUAUCCCAGAAACGGUACGGUAUUUGCAUUAUAUGAUUUUCAUAUAUAAAUUAUCUAUAUAUUUGAUACUAACUUAAUAUAAUAUGUUCCAUUUUUAUAUUGCAGUACUUUGACAAUUCUAGUCCAUCAUAUUCUGAGGAAGAUCUAAUGGAAUUAAAGGAAGACUGGUGUCAGUAUGUGCUUGACAUGCAAAUUAUUUGAUUUUCUGGGAAAUAGCUUGCUGCUGGGCAAGGGAUCUGAAUAUUAUAUGGUAG